Molecule: long non-coding RNA, 1136 nt
Organism: Mercenaria mercenaria
Lineage: Eukaryota; Metazoa; Mollusca; Bivalvia; Venerida; Veneridae
Exons: 2
Source: RefSeq, a predicted model, not a curated record
UCCUAAAUCUGUAACAUGAUAUCCUCCAAAACCGAGUCUCGUGUAACAUUUCCUCCCCCGUGAAGUACACGUUUUUUCGUCAGGUCAUAUUUUAGAAAUGACGUGAAAGACGAAAGCCAACAACUUAAAUUACUUUCAAUUUUGAAAAUAAAUAAUUUCAGGGCUUGUGGUUUAAAUGAUAGAUGCCGACAGCGUUAUCACUUAUACACAGAGUACAUACUACACUGUUGGGAAACGGACACCGGAUAUAGCUCAGAAAGUGAUAAAUCAAUGACACACGCUGACUAUUUUACCAUAUUCUCUUUUGUAUUAUAUGGUGAUACAUUUAUCAAAAUCGAAGAGUUUCGAAAAGCUUGAUCCUAUGCAAUAUACUAUGUCCCUACUCUUAAAUGAAAGUUGCAUAACCGCUCAAAAAUGUUCAGUAAAGUGGUAGGAUUUCAAACAUAAAACAACAAAUAGAAAAUUAGAAUAAAAACAAAAUCGAUUGAUUUUAUUAUAAUUUCAUCUUUCAGUAUUGUGUAAGAUAGCAAUACAGUAUGUUUUGUUGUAACGGAGAGACCUGAAAGUGAGCUGUGGAUAGACAAAGCAAAUAUGUAACUGUACAGGGGCUAGUUUUUAUUACAGGGCAAUAAAAUGACACCACAGCUAGUCAUUGCCAUAGAAUUUGGAACCUAUGCCUGUGGAAUCGCCUUGCAGUGGAGAUCCGACUAUGAGAAUACCAACUGCGUGAAAAGUAUUAAGGUACCAACCAAAUGGUCAUCGACGGGAUUUUGCAUCAGGAAGACACCGUCGUGCAUUUUGCUGAAACCUGACAAAAGUGUAGCAGAAUUUGGUUACAAGGCAGACUUUCUAUUUAGCAAAAAUGAAUCGAUUCCUAUGUGUGUGUGUGUUCGGGUUUAACGUCUUUCUCAACAAUUUUUCAGUCAUAUAAACGACGGGAUUCCUAUGAGUAGGCGUCCAAAAGACUGAGACGAUUGGUUUUUCUUCAAAUAUUUUAAGCUGCAACUAGACAGUAGGAAGGUUUGUUACUUAUACGUAUAUACAAAAUGUAUGUUCAAUGUACUAUUGUUUAUCAUUCUGUUUUUUUUUUUUUUGUUUUUUUUUACACAGACGCAAAGUGGCAUCGUUAUAAUGGA